AGAUCCGAACGGCGACUCCUCCGCGCGAGCGAUACGUCUGAAAACUGAGCGGCGACGUGAUCCGCGAGAACUUCACACCGCCGGUAGGCUGAGCUGCUCGGUCUCGCAGUAUGUUAAAGAAGAUGCAUCAACAAGAGGCACAGAGCCAGUGAGUACGUAGAAAAGCUGUCUGCUGCUGGAGCCGAGUUCCUUCCUGUGGAAGCAGACAGACAGAGUUCAUCGCCUUCAGAACACAACGUUGAAAUUGACACACCUCUGAGCUCCAGCAGAACGUCUCCUUCGUAGCGAGCAAGUCCGACAGCGUGCCUUUGCUCCGCGUCCAUCUGUGCCCACUGCUC
This is a non-coding RNA of Gasterosteus aculeatus aculeatus (three-spined stickleback), 338 nucleotides long. NCBI's taxonomy places the organism in Eukaryota, Metazoa, Chordata, Actinopteri, Perciformes, Gasterosteidae. The record is from RefSeq and is a predicted model, not a curated record.